This 305-nucleotide ribosomal RNA is filed under the name uncultured bacterium. RNAcentral's name for it is "bacterial SSU rRNA". It matches the Rfam family "Bacterial small subunit ribosomal RNA", at positions 334 to 656 of the family's 1533-position model. The record is from RNAcentral.
GAAGCCUACGGGACGCAGCAGUAGGGAAUAUUGCUCAAUGGGGGAAACCCUGAAGCAGCAACGCCGCGUGGAGGAUGAAGGUUUUCGGAUUGUAAACUCCUUUUGUUAGAGAAGAUAAUGACGGUAUCUAACGAAUAAGCACCGGCUAACUCCGUGCCAGCAGCCGCGGUAAUACGGAGGGUGCAAGCGUUACUCGGAAUCACUGGGCGUAAAGAGCGCGUAGGCGGGAUAGCAAGUCAGAUGUGAAAUCCUAUGGCUUAACCAUAGAACUGCAUUUGAAACUUGUAUUCUAGAGUAUGGGUGCG